RNAcentral lists this transfer RNA (67 nucleotides) under Sinanodonta woodiana. RNAcentral's name for it is "tRNA-Phe". The record is from RNAcentral. Lineage: Eukaryota; Metazoa; Mollusca; Bivalvia; Unionida; Unionidae.
GAAGGAAGUAGCUUAACACAAAGCAUAACACUGAAAAUGUUAGGAUAGUGCUAUAAACUCUCCUUCA